GGGGAUUCGUGAGGGCAUGUUUGACCCGCUGACAAAACAACAGCUUGCCGGCUUGUGUCUGAGGAUUGUCCAGUUUUUAUCGGACAAGCUGAUGCAGAUCAUCAUCCCAGGACUCUAACCUCUCUGUCUGAUGUGCAGAAGAAAACAACCAACUCUGAGACGCUACAAGUCCUCUUAGGUGUCUCAGAGGACACCCUCGUCACCUGUGUGCAGGACAGCCUGCAAGGUUCUCUCUCCAAACUUGCAUGCAUGUCCAAUUCUCCAUCUGGAAGUGCAGGCUCUAUGAUGCUAACCCCUGCUGUAAUGGCAGAGUUGGCUAAAGAUGUCAAGUCGACCUUAUCAGUGGUCGUUAAGAGUGCCUCCGCAAGUCAAACCUCUCUAGUGACACCGGUAAGGGGAGACUCACAGACCAAGGUGACUGAGAGCAUGGUGAGAGAGCUGGCUGCUAAACUUGAAAAAGUUGACCAAGAGAGCAAGAGUCUAACAGGGCAAGUCAUGACCACCAUCUCUGACACAAUGGUGGCUUUUGUUGACGAGAACCAACAGAAUUUGCUGGAAGAUCUGAAGGACAAGAUCACGUUUUUGGCAUCGCAUGUUGGCUUCAUUGAGGAUCUUGAUGCCCUGAUAAGGAAAUACGAGACCAGCUACAAUAUUAGUGAAUCUGGUUCCUCCUGCACGCUCACAUCUAAGAGCAUCCAAAAACUCUCUAGCCGGGAGUUUCAAACAUCAGCAAUACAAGCAGUGAGUGGAGUUCUUGACAAAAAAAGUCAGUAGUUUGAGCUUUCCUAGUUCAGUCAUUCAGUCUGAGUUAACAGGUGCUGUGUCAGGUCAAACAUUGUCUGGCAUUGUAAAGACAGAGUCAAUUCACCCAGUGGGCUCAGCAGCGUCAGUAGUUGUUAAGACUUUCGUGUCAGAUAUGAAGUCCUUGGCUGAAUCUGAAGAGAGUCCCCAACAGAAGAGUGCCUGGUCUGCUGCUGUUCACAUUUACCACAGCGUCCAAAACAACUUGAAAGAUUAUUUCGGCAAGCUUCAGCGAUGUGCCUUAAAGAGCAUUGUCACAUCUGAUGACAACAUCACAAAUGCUGAGUUUAAGGAGACAGUUCAACUUCCUUGCUUAAACAUGAAAUAUAGGCCCAGUAAGAGUGAGCCUCAGUUGCCAGAGUCC
Molecule: non-coding RNA, 1165 nt
Organism: Oncorhynchus mykiss (rainbow trout)
Lineage: Eukaryota; Metazoa; Chordata; Actinopteri; Salmoniformes; Salmonidae
Source: RefSeq, a predicted model, not a curated record